AGUCUUGCUCUAUUGCCCAGGCUAUAAGUGGCGUGAUCUCAGUUCACUACAACCUCUGCCUCCUGGGUUCAAGCGAUUCUCCUGCCUCAACCUCCCAAGUAGCUGGGAUUACAGGCAUGCACCACCAUGCCAGGCUAAUUUUUGUAUUUUUAGUGGAGAUGGGGUUUCGCCAUGUUGGCCAGGGUGGUCUCGAACUCCUGACCUCAAGUGAUCCACCCGCCUUGGCCUCCCAAAUUGCUGGGAUUACAAGCAUGAGCCACUGCACGCAGCCUUACACUGAACUUUUAAUGGAUUCAAUUCCACUAGGAGCAUAAAGGCUAUUGCAUAUGAGUUGUGGAAAGAAGAGAUUGGAGGAAGAAGGAAGAACUUGAGAUGGGUUCCUCCCUUCAACCUUCUGUCUCCUCCUACCUAGCAUCUUCUUCCUUUUAGUCUUUCUAGAAUGUCCAUCUGUUUUUGGCCAUUGCAGAAAGAAGCUGAGCUUUAAAGGCGUAGGAGCUUCAAAAUUCUUGUUUCUUCAUGUUUGCUCACCUUCUAACCCUGUCUUAUGUUCCUUCUGCUAUUCUUUUUCUUAGAGCAUAGGAAAGGGGAGCUUUUACAUUAAUACUUAAAGCAUGCAAAAAAAUAACUUCAGAAGAAAAUGAAACAAGGGAGAUGAGGCUAGUAAAGUAAGGGAAAUGGAGAAGAGAAAGAGGAGGAAGGGUUAGCUUCUAAAUUCCAAGUCACAUUGAUAUGGAACAGGCAAGGCCUCUCGUCUUAAACUUCAGAAAAGGAUCUGCUGAAACUUGAUAGAAAUGGAAAGGGAAAUCCUUCGGGUGGGGAACCUCCAAACAUUAGUAGUGAUAUUGAACAACUCAAAGUAUUGAGCAACUCUGCAGGCUACAUGCCUGAAGAUCACCCAUGCAGAUAGAACAAAAGGAUUAGAAUUAUCUGUUGAUAUUAAUAUUUAUUGACAUCUAGCUAGUAUUGGUAAUUUUAAGUUUUAGAUUAAUUUCUUUGGUGACAGCUAUGAUAUAUUUUAUAGAAAAGAAUUAUAUGUAUAGGCUUGCCCUCAUAGGCUCUAUUUUAAUUAGCAUUAAUUUAAUCUACUUAUUUUAUUUUUAGCACAUUUGAAACAUUCACUUAUUCUAGGAAACUCAUUGCCGAAAAGAUGAUUCCUGUAUGUAUGGCAGCUAUACAUUAAGGAGGAGUCUCCCGGAAUAUGAAAAAGUCAACUGACCUAAAUAUUGCUGAGACAAAGGAAAACCCACUCCCUUGGAGGAGCAUGACCUUUUCCUGUAUUGCUUCCCACUGCUGUUGUUGAGCUCCUUGGACCCUGACUCCUGGACACCAUCAUCAAGAAGACUUUAUGGAUGGGCUAUCCACCCACUGAGAGAAGAGGAGCAUCAGCUACAGUUUCUCUCUAGAUUGCCUUCUUCAUUUUGAGUAAUGACUGUCAGCAGGGUCAGAUUAAAGACAAAACAACUGGACAAUUGCUUGGAGGACUAAACUAUAAGGGCACUAACAUAUCAAUAGUAUGCUAACACAUCCAUGGAAAAUAUAUUUACCAGCCCUUCUCUCAGGGAGGAGUCUGUGUGGGGUUGGAAGGAAUAGUCUGUUAAAUUCCUUAGGGGUAGAAAGUAGGGCAUAGUCAGAAUGUAGAGGAGCAUGCUGUUUGACUUCAGGGUUUCUGUUUUUCUUACUAGGAUAUAUAAAACAAGGACUCUAGCUAGAUUGUUUAUGACCACAGAGGGUAGGCUGAGUGCUCUCAUGAUCUUCCUGCUUGAUUCUUGCUCCUACAGACCUCAGCCUUUCCUCUAAUAAAGAUUGAACAAGUAGUGGUCUGAGGGAGACACCAAUUCAUUACCCUACAUGUCUCUUCUUUGCACUCUAGGGCUUUGAUAAUAAAGACACUGGCAGACUAUCUAUCUUCCAUUUCUAUAAUGUGAGCCCUUAGGGAGUCUUCGUUCACUUGCGGGUGACAGUCAUUGCUCACAGAGUAGUUCAAGUCAAAUGGAACUUGAACUCUUUGCCUAUGGGCCUGGUGGUCAGACUCUGUGUUGAGUUCAUUAGAUUAUUGGGAACACAAGGUAGAGCUGGGCCCUUCAAAAAUAUUUGGCUAAAGGAUGACAUUGCUGGUUAUUUGUAGAUAAAGCCAUCAUGGAACAUGCUUGGAAUUAUGAAAUAUGGAACUGGUGGUCAUGUUUAAUAAUACAACUAAUAGUUAAGUAACUACUGGAUACUGUAGAGACUUAGAAGCAAGACAGACAUGGUUCCUGCCCCCAUGGAGCUUACACUGUAGCUUUCCCUUAGGUAUGAAGAACAGUGGCUACAACUAAUAAAUGGUCAUAAAGAUAUCAUUGAGCCAGUGUUCCAGUUAUUAGAAUAAUUCCUAUUUCCUUAAUCAUGCUUACUGAUCAUGUUCUAUAAGCCUGCAUUCUAUAAAUGGCCUGUAAGCAUGGGCUGUUUCCCCCCAGCAAGUUGUACAAAGUUCUGUGGUACCAGGCAAAGGGCUUAAGGUUAGCAGGGUCUCUGGGGAAGGACAUACGAAGUGACUUGGGUCAGGAAACAGGAAGGGAUAGGUUUCAAGAACAGCUAUCGCUUCUGUUCUGUAUAGAAAACUGCAGGAUGAAAAAUGCUGGGCCCCAGCAUUUUUGAGACCUGGGUGUUAGUUUGUGUUCUAAUACUAACAAGCUAUGUGACUGUGGGUAAGUCAUUUCACAUUCCACUUGGAUGCCUCUUGAGUGACUCCAGGCCUCUCCAGCUCUAAAACAUUAAGAUCAGGCUCUAUGCUACAGCUGGCCUUAUGUAAUUCUCCUGUUUCUACACUGUUAGGUCAAAUCAAUCUUCAAUAGUUACUUGAUUGUUGUUACUUUUUUCUGAAGCGGGUGUUUUACCAAUGUUUCAGGAUACAGUGAGUCUGCUUCUUCCCUUUGGAGUUAGGAAGGUUGUAGCAAUAUACACUGUAGAGCUUAUGGAAGCUUUAUUCCUUCCUUUUUUCCCCCUUACCUUUCUCCCGCUCCUUCCCUUCCUCAAACAUUUCUAUUGAGCAUAUACCAUUGCCAUGUACCAGGUGUGUGCUAGGUUUGGAGAUACAAGGUAAACCUGAGAGUUUCCCAGACUCCAGGAGACAAAACCCUUAUUUCUUUCAUCUGCUGGCUUUCUCUUUGGAAAGAAUCAACGAUGUCCCAGGGGAGUGUGCCCAUGUCCCAGGGUAACCAACUACAGACAGAUGCCCCAUUCUACUCAAGCAACUUUUAGAGUGCCUUGAGAUACACAUCAGUUAAUUAUUCGGGGCCAGGCAUGAUGCUGUACACCUGUAGUCACAGCACUUUGGGUGGCUGAGGCAGCAGAUUGCUUGAGCUCAGGAAUUCAAGACUAGACUAGAGAACAUGGCAAAACCCAAGCUCUACAAAAACAUACAAAAAUUAGCUGCGUGUGGUGGCCCCUGACUAGUACAAGCUACUCAGGAGACUGAGGUGGGAGAAUUGCUUGAGCCUGUGAGGUCGAGACUGCAGUGAGCUGAGAUCAUGCCAUUGCACUCCAGCCUGGGUGACAUAGGGAGACCCUGUCUU
Long non-coding RNA from Mandrillus leucophaeus (drill), 3551 nucleotides. RefSeq lists it as uncharacterized. The transcript has 2 exons. The record is from RefSeq and is a predicted model, not a curated record. Lineage: Eukaryota; Metazoa; Chordata; Mammalia; Primates; Cercopithecidae.